RNAcentral lists this ribosomal RNA (459 nucleotides) under Nocardiopsis sp. Its description in RNAcentral is "bacterial SSU rRNA". It matches the Rfam family "Bacterial small subunit ribosomal RNA", at positions 136 to 596 of the family's 1533-position model. The record is from RNAcentral. Lineage: Bacteria; Bacillati; Actinomycetota; Actinomycetes; Streptosporangiales; Nocardiopsidaceae.
CUCUGGGAUAAGCGGUGGAAACGCCGUCUAAUACCGGAUACGACCCGCCACCUCAUGGUGGAGGGUGGAAAGUUUUUCGGUCAGGGAUGGGCUCGCGGCCUAUCAGCUUGUUGGUGGGGUAACGGCCUACCAAGGCGAUUACGGGUAGCCGGCCUGAGAGGGCGACCGGCCACACUGGGACUGAGACACGGCCCAGACUCCUGCGGGAGGCAGCAGUGGGGAAUAUUGCGCAAUGGGCGAAAGCCUGACGCAGCGACGCCGCGUGGGGGAUGACGGCCUUCGGGUUGUAAACCUCUUUUACCACCAACGCAGGCUUCCAGUUCUCUGGAGGUUGACGGUAGGUGGGGAAUAAGGACCGGCUAACUACGUGCCAGCAGCCGCGGUAAUACGUAGGGUCCGAGCGUUGUCCGGAAUUAUUGGGCGUAAAGAGCUCGUAGGCGGCGUGUCGCGUCUGCUGUG